RNAcentral lists this long non-coding RNA (944 nucleotides) under Olea europaea subsp. europaea. The record is from RNAcentral. Lineage: Eukaryota; Viridiplantae; Streptophyta; Magnoliopsida; Lamiales; Oleaceae.
UUUUAUGUGGUUUGGCAAUCUGGUGGAUUCCCAGGUUAUUGAGAGAUGCUUAGUUUUUUGUUCUUUGAUUUCCUUCAAGUAGAACUCGUUUGAGUUGCAUGUUUUGUUAAAUAAGUAGCGGCCCCUUGUAUUAAAAUUCAACUAGUGAUUCAUCAAACAUUAUGUGCCAACAAUGAAAAUAUGAUCGCCCUUGUACUAAAAUUGUUCCGAAGAUGGUAAGUUUUCCAUUAUAAUUGCAUAGUAAGUUAUCAGUCACAAAGACUAUCCUACUCUAUGUUAAAUCAUCACGUGGUUAUGAGAUUCCAUCUUUAUGAAGUUAAUUUUGUUUCCUGACUUGGACCAGUGGUGCCUAAAAAUUGGAAUGGGAGCUCAAGAGGAUCACGUGACAAUUAACUGAAGAUUUGGCCGCUUUCCAUAACACAUUUUGUCGUAGAUUGGUAUUAUGUUGUUUGAUUAGCAGAUGGGAUUUAUAGAUGAAGGCUUAUUGCACCAAGAUGGUACGUUGGUAAUUGUUGUGAAUUUGGUUACUGAGCCAAUGGCACGGUCAGGACAGUGACACAAUAUGCAAGAUAUGACCCGACUCACAAAGAAAGCAAAACUACAAAGAUGAGUUGUACCCACAAGUAUAUUUGGAGGCAACAAUAUCCAGUUCAAUCAAUAUAUUCAAGUACCUGCAGACGCGAAAUCAAUGGGUAUGUAAUCGUUUACUACCUUUAUCUCGUAUUUCAAUCUUUUCGCUGCAUCAGUCGGGCAAAAGUCACAAAUAUCAGCUCCAUUUUACAGCCUAAUACCAGUUAGGUUAGAAUCAGGCUUUGUACUAUGUUAUUUGGGCACUGACUGGGGUCAUAGGUAAUGGUUUUGAACCAGUAACGGGCUUAUUAGCUUACCCUGUAAUGUAUUUCGCCAAGUUUGCUACAAAAUAACACAUGAAACAAGAAAGCAAG